GCAUUAUGAAUUAUACUGAAUUUUUACUUUCAAUGGCUAAUUUUUUUUAAAAAUAAUUAUAUACCAUAACUUCGAAUUUAUCAACCCUAAUAAUAACAAAAAUAAUUAUAUUCUAUAAUUUGAUAAAAUAAAUCCUAAUUAUUAUUAAUAACAAAAUUAAAUCAAAACAUAUAAAAUAAAAUUAAAAAAAUAUGAAAUAAAAUUUAAAAAAUCGAAAGUGAGAUACGAUGCCCUAAAUCUCAAGUGCAUCUCUCAACCACCUCAAC
This 266-nucleotide long non-coding RNA is filed under the name Salvia miltiorrhiza (redroot sage). Its description in RNAcentral is "long non-coding RNA (SMIL_LNC008651)". The record is from RNAcentral. Lineage: Eukaryota; Viridiplantae; Streptophyta; Magnoliopsida; Lamiales; Lamiaceae.